CCCUUAGAUGUUCUGGGCCGCACACGCGCUACACUGAAGGAGGCAGCGUGUACUCCUGGAUCGAAAGAUUUGGGUAACCCGCGAAUCUCCUUCGUGCUAGGGAUUGAGGUUUGCAAUUAUCCUUCAUGAACGAGGAAUUCCCAGUAAGUGCAAGUCAUAAGCUUGCGCUGACUACGUCCCUGCCCUUUGUACACACCGCCCGUCGCUACUACCGAUUGAAUGAUUUAGUGAGGACUUCGGACUGGGACCGAUGCGGCUUUCGGGCUGCGUCGGUAUUCUGGAAAGACGUCCAAACUGUAUCAUUUAGAGGAAGUAAAANUCGUANCA
This 327-nucleotide ribosomal RNA is filed under the name uncultured eukaryote. Its description in RNAcentral is "partial 18S ribosomal RNA". It matches the Rfam family "Eukaryotic small subunit ribosomal RNA", at positions 1470 to 1796 of the family's 1831-position model. The record is from RNAcentral.